GACGAACGCUGGCGGCGUGCUUAACACAUGCAAGUCGAACGGUAAGGCCCUUCGGGGUACACGAGUGGCGAACGGGUGAGUAACACGUGGGUGAUCUGCCCUGCACUCCGGGAUAAGCCUGGGAAACUGGGUCUAAUACCCGAUAGGACUCCGGUCUGCAUGGUCUGGGGUGGAAAGCUUUCGCGGUGUGGGAUGGGCGGGAGCGGCGGCCUUUCAGCUUGUUGGUGGGGUGAUGGACUACCAAGGCGACGAGGGGUCGCCGGCCUGGGGGGGUGACCGGCCCCACGGCGACUGAGAUACGGCACAGACUCCUACGGGAGGCAGCAGUGGGGAAUAUUGCACAAUGGGCGCAAGCCUGGUGCAACCACGCCGCGUGGGGGAUGACGUCCUUCGGGUUGUAAACCUCUUUCAGCAUCGACGAAGCGAAAGUGACGGUAGGUGCAGAAGAAGCACCGGCCAACUACGUGCCAGCCGCCGCGGUAA
Molecule: ribosomal RNA, 483 nt
Filed under: uncultured bacterium
Lineage: Bacteria
Description: partial 16S ribosomal RNA
Rfam family: Bacterial small subunit ribosomal RNA
Source: RNAcentral